RNAcentral lists this long non-coding RNA (570 nucleotides) under Cyanistes caeruleus (blue tit). RNAcentral describes it as "lncRNA (ENSCCEG00000019022.1)". The record is from RNAcentral. Lineage: Eukaryota; Metazoa; Chordata; Aves; Passeriformes; Paridae.
UUAUUUGUCCACAGAACAGCACCAAGAAAGAUCAGACAGAGAGAUGACCUGGCUCAUCCUGAAAUGGAAUUUGCCUGCAAACUGAAUGUUAGCAGUGCCUGAGCCUGCACAGCAGCUCAGCCCGAGCCCCUGAGCAAGAGAGACAUUUACAAGCAAAGACCAGAAUGCUUAUCUGGCAUAAACACAUCCUUGUGUUUAACCACAGAUGAAUGCACCAGAGCUGGAUACUUGAGAAGAGAAAGUGCUAAAGGUUGACUUCAAUGGGAAUGUUCCCUGACGAAGGUGAAGAUUUGACCCAGAAAGGUUUGAAGACCACAGGGAUUCAUCUCAUCUGCAUACUUCAGCAGUCAGCCAUUUGCUCUCUGAAUUCCAGAGACCCAAAUUUUGUAGGACACUUAAAGACCUUUUGAGUGCAGCCAGGGAUGGAAUCUGUGAAUUACCUUUACCUGAGAGCUGCCAGGCAAUAUCUGUCAGUAAGUAAUGUUUCAUUCAGUGACCAGAUAUGUGCAGAACAGUCUGAUUUGGUGCAGUAUUUGCCAUUUCUGUAAAAUGUCUAUAUUUUGUCUGUCU